RNAcentral lists this ribosomal RNA (505 nucleotides) under uncultured bacterium. Its description in RNAcentral is "partial 16S ribosomal RNA". It matches the Rfam family "Bacterial small subunit ribosomal RNA", at positions 28 to 507 of the family's 1533-position model. The record is from RNAcentral.
GACGAACGCUGGCGGCGUGCCUAAUACAUGCGAGUAGAACGCACAGUUUAUACCGUAGCUUGCUACACCAUAGACUGUGAGUUGCGAACGGGUGAGUAACGCGUAGGUAACCUGCCUGGUAGCGGGGGAUAACUAUUGGAAACGAUAGCUAAUACCGCAUAAUAUUGAUUAUUGCAUGAUAAUUAAUUGAAAGGUGCAAUUGCACCACUACCAGAUGGACCUGCGUUGUAUUAGCUAGUAGGUGAGGUAACGGCUCACCUAGGCGACGAUACAUAGCCGACCUGAGAGGGUGAUCGGCCACACUGGGACUGAGACACGGCCCAGACGCCUACGGGAGGCAGCAGUAGGGAAUCUUCGGCAAUGGACGAAAGUCUGACCGAGCAACGCCGCGUGAGUGAAGAAGGUUUUCGGAUCGUAAAGCUCUGUUGUAAGAGAAGAACGGGUGUGAGAGUGGAAAGUUCACACUGUGACGGUAUCUUACCAGAAAGGGACGGCUAACUACGUG